RNAcentral lists this long non-coding RNA (160 nucleotides) under Gorilla gorilla gorilla (western lowland gorilla). RNAcentral's name for it is "lncRNA (ENSGGOG00000044666.1)". The record is from RNAcentral. Lineage: Eukaryota; Metazoa; Chordata; Mammalia; Primates; Hominidae.
GUUAUAAAUAUGACCAUGUGACCAUGAUGAUAAUCAUCACUAUCAUUAUCUAAGAGAAAAAGAUGGGUAAAGAAGAAUACAAGUAGAUUUUGGGAUGUGUCUGCAAAUGGAAGUGUGGAAUACAUAGAAGAACACUAAAUAGGAAUCAACAGAAAGGGAG